UGGCCGCGGGAUUGCCAUGCGAGUCGAAUGUAGCAAUACAUGGCGUACUGCUCAGUAACACGUGGACAACCUGCCCUUAGGACGGGUAUAAACCCGGGAAACUGGGUAUAAUUCCCGAUAGGUCUCGUCUGCUGGAAUGCAUCGAGAUCCAAAGCUCCGGCGCCUAAGGAUGGGUCUGCGGCCUAUCAGGUAGUAGUGGGUGUAGCGUACCUACUAGCCUACGACGGGUACGGGUUGUGAGAGCAAGAGCCCGGAGAUGGAUUCUGAGACACUAAUCCAGGCCCUACGGGGUGCAGCAGGCGCGAAAACUUUACAAUGCUGGGAACAGCGAUAAGGGAACCUCGAGUGCCAGGUUACAAAUCUGGCUGUCGUGAUGCCUAAAAAGCAUUAUAUAGCAAGGGCCGGGCAAGACCGGUGCCAGCCGCCGCGGUAACACCGGCGGCUCGAGUGGUAACCGUUAUUAUUGGGUCUAAAGGGUCUGUAGCCGGCCGGAUAAGUCUCUUGGGAAAUCUGGCAGCUUAACUGUCAGGCUUUCAGGGGAUACUGUCUGGCUCGAGGCCGGGAGAGGUGAGAGGUACUUCAGGGGUAGGGGUGAAAUCUUGUAAUCCUUGAAGGACCACCAGUGGCGAAGGCGUCUCACCAGAACGGACCUGUCGGCAAGGGACGAAAGCUAGGGGCACGAACCGGAUUAGAUACCCGGGUAGUCCUAGCCGUAAACGAUACUCGCUAGGUGUCGGCCACGGUGCGACCGUUGUCGGUGCCGUAGGGAAGCCGUGAAGCGAGCCACCUGGGAAGUACGGCCGCAAGGCUGAAACUUAAAGGAAUUGGCGGGGGAGCAAAUCACUAGUGCGGCCGCCUGCAGGUCGACCA
Molecule: ribosomal RNA, 870 nt
Filed under: uncultured archaeon
Lineage: Archaea
Description: bacterial SSU rRNA
Rfam family: Archaeal small subunit ribosomal RNA
Source: RNAcentral